AGGACGAACGCUGGCGGCGUGCUUAACACAUGCAAGUCGAGCGGAAAGGCCCUUCGGGGUACUCGAGCGGCGAACGGGUGAGUAACACGUGAGUAAUCUGCCCCUAGCUCUGGGAUAGCUCCGGGAAACCGGGAUUAAUACCAGAUACGACCACUUUAGACAUCUUCUGUGGUGGAAAGAACUUCGGCUAGGGAUGAACUCGCGGCCUAUCAGCUUGUUGGUGAGGUAACGGCUCACCAAGGCGACGACGGGUAGCCGGCCUGAGAGGGCGACCGGCCACGACUGGGACUGAGACACGGCCCAGACUCCUACGGGAGGCAGCAGUGGGGAAUAUUGCGCAAUGGGCGAAAGCCUGACGCAGCGACGCCGCGUGGGGGAUGAAGGCCUUCGGGUUGUAAACCCGUUUCAGCAGGGACGAAGCGAAAGUGACGGUACCUGCAGAAGAAGCGCCGGCUAACUACGUGCCAGCAGCCGC
RNAcentral lists this ribosomal RNA (475 nucleotides) under uncultured bacterium. RNAcentral describes it as "SSU rRNA". It matches the Rfam family "Bacterial small subunit ribosomal RNA", at positions 26 to 518 of the family's 1533-position model. The record is from RNAcentral.